This 434-nucleotide ribosomal RNA is filed under the name Myotis alcathoe. Its description in RNAcentral is "partial 12S ribosomal RNA". It matches the Rfam family "Bacterial small subunit ribosomal RNA", at positions 769 to 1399 of the family's 1533-position model. Lineage: Eukaryota; Metazoa; Chordata; Mammalia; Chiroptera; Vespertilionidae. The record is from RNAcentral.
UUACUGGGAUUAGAUACCCCACUAUGCUUAGCCCUAAACAUAAAAAAUUAUAAACAAAAUUAUUCGCCAGAGUACUACUAGCAAUAGCUUAAAACUCAAAGGACUUGGCGGUGCCUUAUAUCCCUCUAGAGGAGCCUGUUCUAUAAUCGAUAAACCCCGAUCUACCCUACCAAUCUUUGCUAAAUCAGCCUAUAUACCGCCAUCUUCAGCAAACCCUAAAAAGGAUGUAAAGUAAGCACAAGUAUUAACAUAAAAACGUUAGGUCAAGGUGUAGCUUAUAGAUUGGAAAGAAAUGGGCUACAUUCCCCGAAUCGGGGAAUCAUUACUACACGAAAACCUAUGUGAAAUCAAAAGUUAAAGGUGGAUUUAGCAGUAAAUUAAGAAUAGAGAGCUUAAUUGAAUGUGGCCAUAAGGCACGCACACACCGCCCGUCA